ACAGACCCAAGAAUGCUGAUACAUUGCUGGGACAAAAUACUGGAGCAACAACUUGAAGAAGGAAAGGACGUGAAAUCUGGACUCUCGUUCUUGAACAGGACAGAAGUGCAUGCUGGAAGUGCAAGGGAGGACACUCCAUAGGGAAAGCUGAGCGAAGAAAACAGGAAUGCUAAGAAGAUCCACAGUUGAACAGCAUCCACUGCUGCAGUCAGCAGCAUGAUGUACAGAGGGUUUUUCCUUCCUUCCCAGUCCUUCAUGAGACUCUCUCUCUCUCUCUCUCUCUCUCUCUCUCUCUCUCUCUCUGUGUGUGUGUGUGUGUGUGUGUGUGUGCGUGCGUGUUUGUCUAUGUGUUUCCUCUGCCAACCCUGGGGCAGGAUGGCCAAUGGAGGUAGCCUCAGGUAGAAAUGUGAGUUUCAGAAAAAUCAAAAGCCUAGGUCAUUCUCCAAGCACCUGCUAAAUUUUAGCAUUUACCCAGCCAUUUAGCAUCUCACCCUGUUGCAACCAAGGUGAUCUGAGGGCUAUCAAAAAUGCUCCCACAGUGAAAGGGACCCAACACUGAUAUUUCCUGAGGCUUUGACAACUUUAAAUGCCCAGCAGAGUUGCACCUGAGGUCCCUGCCUAGGGCAGAGGGGAUGGGUUCUGUAUGAGCAGGGAGGAAGUGAAGUUUCUUUUUGAAGGGUUGAACAGAUGGAGACAACCACGUGUGCAUAUGUCCUGCCUCUUGCCCCCAACCCUGGUUCUGUCCUGCUCUGCCCUAGAGCCUCACACUGCCCACAAGAAUUAAAGGCUUUCUGCCUCCGGGUUUUCUAGC
Mastomys coucha (southern multimammate mouse) is the source of this 811-nucleotide long non-coding RNA. RefSeq lists it as uncharacterized. The transcript has 3 exons. The record is from RefSeq and is a predicted model, not a curated record. Lineage: Eukaryota; Metazoa; Chordata; Mammalia; Rodentia; Muridae.